ACAAAUCUACUGUGCCGCCGCAAGGCGUGCAUAUUGGCCCCGAGUCCAGGCUUUGGUUUGGACUCUGGUUUCGGACAUGAUGGAUGGUCCAGGCUGGUUAGCGCCUGUCUGGCUGUCCGUCGUCCACAUAGACGCUUGUAUGUUUGACAGAGUUACGGUUGUAAGCACAAAAAGA
This 175-nucleotide unclassified non-coding RNA is filed under the name uncultured fungus. RNAcentral's name for it is "sequence contains ITS1, 5.8S rRNA gene". The record is from RNAcentral. RNAcentral also lists the same sequence under 1 other name. Lineage: Eukaryota; Fungi.